Molecule: ribosomal RNA, 424 nt
Filed under: Verrucomicrobiota bacterium
Lineage: Bacteria; Pseudomonadati; Verrucomicrobiota
Description: Verrucomicrobia bacterium partial 16S ribosomal RNA
Rfam family: Bacterial small subunit ribosomal RNA
Source: RNAcentral
UGAGGAAUAUUGGUCAAUGGGCGAGAGCCUGAACCAGCCAAGUAGCGUGCAGGAUGACGGCCCUAUGGGUUGUAAACUGCUUUUAUAUGGGAAUAAAGUGAGGGACGUGUCCCUUAUUGCAUGUACCAUAUGAAUAAGGACCGGCUAAUUCCGUGCCAGCAGCCGCGGUAAUACGGAAGGUCCAGGCGUUAUCCGGAUUUAUUGGGUUUAAAGGGAGCGUAGGCUGUUUGUUAAGCGUGUUGUGAAAUGUAAGGGCUCAACUUUUAGAUUGCAGCGCGAACUGGCAGACUUGAGUGCGCACAACGUAGGCGGAAUUCAUGGUGUAGCGGUGAAAUGCUUAGAUAUCAUGACGAACUCCGAUUGCGAAGGCAGCUUACGGGAGCGCAACUGACGCUAAAGCUCGAAGGUGCGGGUAUCGAACAGG